AUGGACAGAAGUUGGAUAAAAGCUAGGAAAUUUUCCGAAGAAUACAUCAAUGGAGUGAAAGAGUUCAUGAAUUUCGUUCGUGAAACCUGUGCCGAGGAUGCUCAAAUUCUUUGCCCGUGCCGCAAAUAUCUCAAUGGUAAACAAGAACCUCAAGGGAAAGUGGAGGAUCAUAUUCUUAUUUAUGGGAUGUCUAGCACAUAUGAUAGGUGGAUUCAUCAUGGAGAACCAUUAAAUGUUGAAGCUGAUGCAGAUGCACAUCAUGUGGAUGGAGCUACUGAUAUCGUGGUAGAUGUUGCUGAAAAGGAUGUUCGUUUGGAGGAGGAGGAUCUAUAUGAAGAUGAUAGAAUUCCUGACAUGAUACAGGAUCUGUAUGGAUCGGAGGACACGGGUAGACAGCAGUCAAAGUUUGCAAAAGUGAUAGAAGAGGCAAAGUGCUCACUUUACGAAGGGUCUGAAACUUCAAGAUUUUCAUUUGUCGUGAAGUUACUCCACAUCAAGUCUUUCUAUCGGAUCUCCAAUGUUGCAUUUAAUGCGAUACUCGCGUUCUUGGCCAAGUCAUUCCCGAAGUGCUCGAUUCCCAAAUCUUAUGAUGAAGCACUGAAAUUUAUUCGUGCAUUGGGGCUAGGCUAUGAUUCAAUCCAUGUGUGCCCAAAUAAUUGUGUCCUUUUCAGAAAACAAUAUGCCAACCAUGACGAAUGUCCGGUAUGUGGUGCAUCGAGAUGGAAGGACUCAGAUGGGAAAAACAGAUUCCGAUGA
This 756-nucleotide ribosomal RNA is filed under the name Triticum aestivum (bread wheat). RNAcentral describes it as "partial small subunit ribosomal RNA". The record is from RNAcentral. Lineage: Eukaryota; Viridiplantae; Streptophyta; Magnoliopsida; Poales; Poaceae.